Molecule: non-coding RNA, 110 nt
Organism: Acanthosepion pharaonis
Lineage: Eukaryota; Metazoa; Mollusca; Cephalopoda; Sepiida; Sepiidae
Source: the annotation of a GenBank genome assembly
UACGGUUAUGUCAUGUUGAAACACCAGUUCCCAUACGAUCACCGGAGUUAAGCAACGUCGAGCCUGGUCAGUAGCUAGAUGGGAAACCGCUUUGGAAUAUUACGUGCUGA